CAGAGAUGGAUUUGUUCCUUCAGGGGACUUGGACACAGGUGCUGCAUGGCUGUUGUCAGCUCGUGUCGUGAGAUGUUGGGUUAAGUCCCGCAACGAGCGCACCCCUUGUCUUCUGUUGCCAUCGGGUAAUGCCGGGAACUCAGAGGAGACUGCCGGUGACAAGCGGGAGGAAGGCGGGGAUGACGUCAAGUCAUCAUGGCCCUUACCGUAGGGCUAGAAACGUGCACAGGGUGCACAUGAGCCC
RNAcentral lists this ribosomal RNA (244 nucleotides) under uncultured Tolumonas sp. RNAcentral's name for it is "partial 16S ribosomal RNA". It matches the Rfam family "Bacterial small subunit ribosomal RNA", at positions 1001 to 1225 of the family's 1533-position model. The record is from RNAcentral. Lineage: Bacteria; Pseudomonadati; Pseudomonadota; Gammaproteobacteria; Aeromonadales; Aeromonadaceae.